This 483-nucleotide ribosomal RNA is filed under the name uncultured bacterium. RNAcentral describes it as "bacterial SSU rRNA". It matches the Rfam family "Bacterial small subunit ribosomal RNA", at positions 28 to 526 of the family's 1533-position model. The record is from RNAcentral.
GAUGAACGCUGGCGGCGUGCCUAACACAUGCAAGUCGAGCGAUGAAGUUUUCUUCGGAAAACGGAUUAGCGGCGGACGGGUGAGUAACACGUGGGCAACCUGCCUUGUAGAGGGGAAUAGCCUUCCGAAAGGAAGAUUAAUACCGCAUAAUAUUGUUGAGUGGCAUCACUCGAUAAUCAAAGGAGCAAUCCGCUACAAGAUGGGCCCGCGUCGCAUUAGUUAGUUGGUGGGGUAAUGGCCUACCAAGACGACGAUGCGUAGCCGACCUAAGAGGGUGAUCGGCCACAUUGGGACUGAGACACGGCCCAGACUCCUACGGGAGGCAGCAGUGGGGAAUAUUGCACAAUGGAGGAAACUCUGAUGCAGCAACGCCGCGUGAGCGAUGAAGGUCUUCGGAUCGUAAAGCUCUGUCUUCGGGGAUGAUAAUGACAGUACCCGAGGAGGAAGCCACGGCUAACUACGUGCCAGCCGCCGCCGUAACAC